Molecule: small RNA, 446 nt
Filed under: Pan troglodytes (chimpanzee)
Lineage: Eukaryota; Metazoa; Chordata; Mammalia; Primates; Hominidae
Description: processed transcript
Source: RNAcentral
GGCGCGGCAGCUGUCUGGGCUGCUGCGCGCCGCCUAGGUGUCUGGGCGAUCCAUGGGCAAGAGCAAGGGCCACGAUGACAGAUUACGGCGAGGAGCAGCGCAACGAGCUGGAGGCUCUGGAGUCCAUCUACCCUGACUCCUUCACAGGCAGAUGUCUCUCAGCUAUCCCUGUAUAGCUCCAGUCCUGUUCAUGUUCUCUCUCACCAGCAGUACAUCUGUGCUGUGAGGAUGUUAAGGGGAUGAGUGAAGAGGGGUUUGAGAGUGUCAUUAACUGGUAUUAUCAGAAAAUCCACCCAGCUUCACCAUUACUGUGACGUCUGAGGCUGGAGAAAAUGAUGAAACUGUCCAGACUACCCUCAAGUUUACAUACAGUGAAAAAUACCCAGAUGAAGCUCCCCUUUAUGAAAUAUUCUCCCAGGAAAAUCUAGAAGAUAAUGAUGUCUCAG